UGGUGAUCACUUUUACCAACAAGGAAAGGCCACAUCCAAAUUCCAAACCAGAAGUUAUUACCUAAGAAUUCUGUAGGAUAGUGGUACACAUUUGGAGGCUCUGAGAAGUUCACAGACUUGCUAAAGUAAGAGGCCAUAUGUUCCAGAUGCAGCAGGUGGUAGAGUGUCUACUGGCUUGGGUCUUGAUGGAUGAAGCUCCUGCAAACUCACAGUGGACAGAUAGUUGGAAUAAGAAGCCUUUCUGGAGAAGAUUGGCCACUGUUAUUUGUUGACAUACCACAAAUUUAGCCUACCCUGAUUACUACUACUACUACUACA
Molecule: long non-coding RNA, 318 nt
Organism: Dipodomys ordii (Ord's kangaroo rat)
Lineage: Eukaryota; Metazoa; Chordata; Mammalia; Rodentia; Heteromyidae
Exons: 3
Source: RefSeq, a predicted model, not a curated record